Cydia fagiglandana is the source of this 694-nucleotide long non-coding RNA. RefSeq lists it as uncharacterized. The transcript has 3 exons. The record is from RefSeq and is a predicted model, not a curated record. Lineage: Eukaryota; Metazoa; Arthropoda; Insecta; Lepidoptera; Tortricidae.
UUCAUAAAAAAUCCUUAAAUGAGGAAUGAUCAGCUUAUUAGCUAAUCCGCUGUUUAGGCUUAAUAAGCCGUUGAUAAGAACCAUGAUUUAUAAACGUUUAUUAGGGGCUUCUUAACUAAUAAGCAGAUUAGACGCGUUAUGUUGGCAUCUUGGCGCAUCAUAGACUAAAAUAUGGCUGAACAUUAAAUUAAAAAAAAGUUUGACAGCAGCACUAGCGGCCAAUCGUAAUAUCAUGAAGAAGUUGAUUUACUAUUUUGACUAAUUUUCGGAAUUAUCUCUUAUUAAAAUAGCUUCUGUGCCACAAAAAUAAUUAAAGAUUGCUGCAUGGCCGGAAAUUUUAUAAAACUUGUUUCAAUAUUAUGUGGAAUGGAGUCGAAAGAAGUGGGGUUCUUUCAAACUAACCGAGAAGUGCAUAAUUAGCGAAGAGAAGAAGUCGAAGCCAGAUACCGUACCAGACCCCACUCGCCUCCGCAAGAAGAACCAUUGAAUAAUGGUUCAUGAGUUCACACUAAUUUAUUCUGGUUGCGGCAGAAAUUCACAACGGGUCAACAAAACGAAGUCCAUUCAGACUCACUAAAUCAGAUCCUGAAAGUACCAUCAUUAGCCACUGUUAUUGUUGAAUAACUCCAGGCUUUGGAAGAAAAGCUGUGGCCUGUGAACAGCUGUGAAUAUUGGUCAGAGAAGUGUAACUGAC